UGGGGAAUUUUGGACAAUGGGGGCAAUCCCUGAUCCAGCCAUGCCGCGUGAGUGAAGAAGGCCUUCGGGUUGUAAAGCUCUUUCAGCCGGAAAGAAAUCGUGCAGGCUAAUAUCCUGCAUGGAUGACGGUACCGGAAGAAGAAGCACCGGCUAACUACGUG
This 161-nucleotide ribosomal RNA is filed under the name uncultured bacterium. RNAcentral's name for it is "partial 16S rRNA". It matches the Rfam family "Bacterial small subunit ribosomal RNA", at positions 355 to 507 of the family's 1533-position model. The record is from RNAcentral.